Molecule: ribosomal RNA, 432 nt
Filed under: uncultured bacterium
Lineage: Bacteria
Description: partial 16S ribosomal RNA
Rfam family: Bacterial small subunit ribosomal RNA
Source: RNAcentral
ACGAACGCUGGCGGCAGGCCUAACACAUGCAAGUCGAGCGGACCUUUCGGGGUCAGCGGCGGACGGGUGAGUAACGCGUGGGAAUAUGCCCUUCUCUACCGAAUAGUCCUGGGAAACUGGGGGUAAUACCGUAUACGCCCUUUGGGGGAAAGAUUUAUCGGGGAAGGAUUAGCCCGCGUUGGAUUAGGUAGUUGGUGGGGUAAUGGCCUACCAAGCCGACGAUCCAUAGCUGGUUUGAGAGGAUGAUCAGCCACACUGGGACUGAGACACGGCCCAGACUCCUACGGGAGGCAGCAGUGGGGAAUCUUAGACAAUGGGGGCAACCCUGAUCUAGCCAUGCCGCGUGAGUGAUGAAGGCCUUAGGGUUGUAAAGCUCUUUCAGCUGGGAAGAUAAUGACGGUACCAGCAGAAGAAGCCCCGGCUAACUCCGUG